AGAGUUUGAUCCUGGCUCAGAGCGAACGCUGGCGGCAGGCUUAACACAUGCAAGUCGGACGCUUUUGGGGUUUCGACCUCGAGGGAGUGGCGGACGGGUGAGUAGCGCGUGGGAACCUGCCCUGUUGUGGGGGAUAACCGAGGGAAACUUCGGCUAAUACCGCAUACGCCCGGGGGUAACUCCGGGGAAAGAUUUAUCGCAGCAGGAGGGGCCCGCGUCGGAUUAGGUAGUUGGUGGGGUAACGGCCUACCAAGCCGGUGAUCCGUAGCUGGUUCUGAGAGGAUGAUCAGCCACACUGGGACUGAGACACGGCCCAGACUCCUACGGGAGGCAGCAGUGGGGAAUAUUGGACAAUGGGCGCAAGCCUGAUCCAGCAAUGCCGCGUGAGUGAUGAAGGCCUUAGGGUUGUAAAGCUCUUUUCGGCGGGGACGAUGAUGACGGUACCCGCAGAAGAAGCCCCGGCUAACUUCGUGCCAGCAGCCGCGGUAAUACGAAGGGGGCGAGCGUUGUUUCGGAUUUACUGGGCGUAAAGGGCGCGUAGGCGGCGGGUCAAGUCGAGUGUGAAAGCCCCGGGCUCAACCUGGGAGGUGCGCUCGAGACUGGUCUGCUAGAGUUUCGGGAGAGGAGCGUGGAAUUCCCAGUGUAGAGGUGAAAUUUCGUAGAUAUUGGGAAGAACACCGGUGGCGAAGGCGGCGCACUGGACCGAGACUGACGCUGAGGCGCGAAAGCGUGGGGAAGCAAACAGGAAUUAGAUACCCUCGUAGUCC
This 767-nucleotide ribosomal RNA is filed under the name uncultured bacterium. RNAcentral's name for it is "bacterial SSU rRNA". It matches the Rfam family "Bacterial small subunit ribosomal RNA", at positions 8 to 796 of the family's 1533-position model. The record is from RNAcentral.